AUUGAACGCUGGCGGCAUGCCUUACACAUGCAAGUCGAACGGUAACAGGUCUUCGGAUGCUGACGAGUGGCGAACGGGUGAGUAAUACAUCGGAACGUGCCUAGUAGUGGGGGAUAACUACUCGAAAGAGUGGCUAAUACCGCAUGAGAUCUACGGAUGAAAGCAGGGGAUCGCAAGACCUUGUGCUACUAGAGCGGCCGAUGGCAGAUUAGGUAGUUGGUGGGAUAAAAGCUUACCAAGCCGACGAUCUGUAGCUGGUCUGAGAGGACGAUCAGCCACACUGGGACUGAGACACGGCCCAGACUCCUACGGGAGGCAGCAGUGGGGAAUUUUGGACAAUGGGCGCAAGCCUGAUCCAGCAAUGCCGCGUGCAGGAUGAAGGCCUUCGGGUUGUAAACUGCUUUUGUACGGAACGAAAAGCCCUGGGUUAAUACCCUGGGGUCAUGACGGUACCGUAAGAAUAAGCAC
This 468-nucleotide ribosomal RNA is filed under the name Comamonadaceae bacterium oral taxon B87. RNAcentral's name for it is "bacterial SSU rRNA". It matches the Rfam family "Bacterial small subunit ribosomal RNA", at positions 30 to 493 of the family's 1533-position model. Lineage: Bacteria; Pseudomonadati; Pseudomonadota; Betaproteobacteria; Burkholderiales; Comamonadaceae. The record is from RNAcentral.